RNAcentral lists this ribosomal RNA (531 nucleotides) under uncultured bacterium. RNAcentral describes it as "bacterial SSU rRNA". It matches the Rfam family "Bacterial small subunit ribosomal RNA", at positions 9 to 559 of the family's 1533-position model. The record is from RNAcentral.
GAGUUUGAUCCUGGCUCAGAAUGAAUGCUGGCGGCAUGGAUUAGGCAUGCAAGUUGAACGAGAAGUAAACUUCGGUUUAUGGAAAGUAGCGAAAGGGUGAGUAACGCGUGAAUAAUCUGCCCCUAAGUUUGGAACAACAGUUGGAAACGACUGCUAAUACCGGAUGUGAAUAUUUUUCUGCAUGGAAUUAUAUUUAAAGGUUACGCUUAGGGAUGAGUUCGCGUGCCAUUAUGCUAGUUGGUAAGGUAACGGCUUACCAAGGCUAUGACGGCUAGGUGGUCUGAGAGGACGAUCACCCACACUGGGACUGAGACACUGCCCAGACUCCUGCGGGAGGCUGCAGUCGAGAAUCUUCCGCAAUGCGCGCAAGCGUGACGGAGCAAUGCCGCGUGAUCGAAGACUGCCUUCGGGUUGUAAAGAUCUGUCAGGGGGGAAAAACGAUGAUGGUACCCCCAGAGGAAGCCACGGCUAACUACGUGCCAGCAGCCGCGGUAAUACGUAGGUGGCGAGCAUUAUUCGGAAUUACUGGGC